CCUAGUGACAAUAGCGGAGAGGAAACACCCGUUCCCAUUCCGAACACGGAAGUUCCCAUUCCGAACACGGAAGUUAAGCUCUCCAGCGCCGAUGGUAGUUGGGGCCAGCGCCCCUGCGAGAGUAGGUCGUCGCUAGGC
RNAcentral lists this ribosomal RNA (138 nucleotides) under Parageobacillus thermoglucosidasius. The record is from RNAcentral. Lineage: Bacteria; Bacillati; Bacillota; Bacilli; Caryophanales; Anoxybacillaceae.